RNAcentral lists this transfer RNA (72 nucleotides) under Camelus bactrianus (Bactrian camel). It matches the Rfam family "tRNA". Rfam says of the family: Transfer RNA (tRNA) molecules are approximately 80 nucleotides in length. Their secondary structure includes four short double-helical elements and three loops (D, anti-codon, and T loops). Further hydrogen bonds mediate the characteristic L-shaped molecular structure. tRNAs have two regions of fundamental functional importance: the anti-codon, which is responsible for specific mRNA codon recognition, and the 3' end, to which the tRNAs corresponding amino acid is attached (by aminoacyl-tRNA synthetases). tRNAs cope with the degeneracy of the genetic code in two manners: having more than one tRNA (with a specific anti-codon) for a particular amino acid; and 'wobble' base-pairing, i.e. permitting non-standard base-pairing at the 3rd anti-codon position. Lineage: Eukaryota; Metazoa; Chordata; Mammalia; Artiodactyla; Camelidae. RNAcentral also lists the same sequence under 3 other names. The record is from Rfam by way of RNAcentral.
AGGGGUAUAGCUCAGUGAUAGAGCACAUGCUUAGCAUGCACGAGGUCCUGGGUUCAAUCCCCAGUACCUCCA